This 72-nucleotide transfer RNA is filed under the name Meridiastra gunnii. Its description in RNAcentral is "tRNA-Ala". It matches the Rfam family "tRNA". From Rfam's summary of the family: Transfer RNA (tRNA) molecules are approximately 80 nucleotides in length. The record is from RNAcentral. Lineage: Eukaryota; Metazoa; Echinodermata; Asteroidea; Valvatida; Asterinidae.
GUGAAUUUAGUUUAAAAGAGAAAACAAUUGAUUUGCAAUCAAUAGCCCUAAGUUUAAGUCUUAGAAUUUACA